This 271-nucleotide ribosomal RNA is filed under the name uncultured archaeon. RNAcentral's name for it is "partial 16S ribosomal RNA". It matches the Rfam family "Archaeal small subunit ribosomal RNA", at positions 477 to 747 of the family's 1478-position model. The record is from RNAcentral.
CAGCGCCACGAGUGGCAAUCACUUUUAUUGGGCCUAAAGCGUCCGUAGCCGGUUUAAUAAGUCUUUUGUGAAAUUGUCGGGCUUAACCUGACAACGUGCAAGAGAUACUGUUGAACUUGGAACCGGGAGGGGUCAGAGGUAUUUUGGGGGGAGCGGUAAAAUGCGAUAAUCCCCGAAGGACCACCUAUGGCGAAGGCAUCUGACCAGAACGGAUUCGACGGUGAGGGACGAAAGCCAGGGGAUCAAACCGGAUUAGAUACCCGAGUAGUCC